AUAACUUCACCAUAUUCUCUCUUUUGAUGGUGUGUUAUAAAUUAGUAACUAUCCUUCCAUCCAAAUUUGCAUAUACACACACAAUAAAUCAUACCAUGAAUAUAUUAUAUAAACUAGGCCAACCAUAGAAAUGUUUGGAAUCGUUAUUAAAAGAUACAAAUAUAAUAUGAUUUACAUUAUUAAUAGAAAAAGAUACAAAUAAAUUUGAUGAUUAUAUAUCCUUUAAAGGAAAAUACACAAAAGGAGUUUUCAAGGUUCAUCCUUGAACUUAUUUGGAGGAUGGUAGUUUCCAUUCCAACCUCCAUCCAACAGUACUUGAUUAUAUGAUCUCUUCUCCUUCUCCUUCUCCUUCACCUCCACUCCAUUCAAACCUAAGAUUACUAAUACAAUUAAUAAUAAUUUUAAGCUAAAGUAUAAAAAUCUACCACUUCACCCUUUAAUUUGUUAAAACAACAUAUUCAUUUUUGUUGGACCCUUUUCAUGAAUAUUAUUUAGAAAAAGAAUUAUCAAACUGAAAAAUUGACUCCCUAGAAUUGAGUUUGAAUGAAAAUUGAGAUCAAUGAUAACAUUGAACAACAACCACACACAUCUUUUUCAAGUUGACCUCUUUUUCAUUUCAUCUAAAUUUCUAAGUGAUGGAUUUCUGUUAGUUCAAGGGGUAGCUAGAAGCAUUUAUGACAACUAAAAAGUCUAAGGGUAUUAUUUCAACUUAGGAAUAAAUUGUAUUUUUAAAUAUAAAAAAAUGUCAUUUCUUUUAUUAAAUUUGGCCAGAAGUUUAAGAAGAUUAUUGGAAUUAUUUAAUUCUGUGUAUAAUAAGUUUCAUAACUCCAAUAUUAUAUUAUGAUAUCGUCAUGACAUCAUUUAUAUGGAAAGUUUAUGAAUGGGUAAAAUAAAAAGUAUUUAAAAUAUUUUUUUAUAUAAAAAAUUAUAAAAAACUAAAAAAUCGUUUGAAUCUGGAUAUUAUUUCAUACUGUAGAUAUUAAAUAUAUAAAAUUUAAAUGUAUGAAAAUUAAACAUAUCAAAUAAUAAAUAUAUGUACGUAUUUGGGUGUGUGAAGUAUAAUUGAUGUGGAGAAGUUAAAAGAUACAUGUUAGAAUAUGGAGAUUUAAUUAAUAUGUGCAAAUUAAAUGUUUGUGUUUGUUCAUUAAUUUCGUACAUAUAUAAAAACUAAAAUUAAAUUAUGAAAUACAAAAUUUUCUAAGCUGAACUUAUCUCAACUUGUUAGUGUAAUUUAAUUAUGAUACCUUUUCAAGUAUAUAUAUAUAUAAUAAUUUUAAAACAACAUUAAUAAUAUUUUUAUAUUUUAAUUAAUUAAAAUCAUUUUGGGAGUAAUAAUAUAAUGGUUUGUUCCCUAAACUCGAUUAAUAUGUUCCAAAUUAAUAUUAAAAUUUAAAAUAGUAAAUACAACAAAAAAGAAUAUAAGAAAAAAUCCAAACUAGCAUUCAAUAUUAUUGCCUCUCAUUAAUUUAAAAACAAUAUAUUAACUAUUUUACAAAAGUGAUAGGUUUGGAAAUUAAAAGGGUCCCUCCUUCGCAACCCCAAAUAGAAAUCACAAUAUCACAUCAUUGGAAGGGAUAAUAGAAACCCACAUCCCAAGUACUUUCUUUUUAUCACUAAUACCUACAAUUUACAUUAAAAUUUAAAUCGAUUAAACCUUAUUUUCUUUUAUUUGGUGGUUAUAUGAUAGAAGUCUAUCAAUAUUUAUCAUUACUAUAUUUUAUAGAUACAUUUCACAUUUUUACGGUCAAUAAUAAUUCUUCCUUUUAAAACUUAAAAGUUACAAAAUUAUAAUGGUAAGAAAAAACAUAAUCACUUUAUGGUUGCGCGUGAAUAAAACAUGCCUAAUAUUUUUUCAAACUAUAAAUCAUAUUAUCUUGGAAUGAGAUAAUAUAUUGUAUUUUAACUAUAAAUUCAUAUAAUAUUUAUUAUCUAAUUAGUCCUAUACAAAAUUAUAAAUUUAAUUUUCUAAUUGUUGGUCUAUUCAAAACUUAGAAGGAUUCAGAGGAUCUGACUAAAAAUCUUCUCUCCAUUUUACUCCUUAUCUAGAAUAGAGGUGUAAGAGCAACUCGAAUAAUUCGGAUUAUAAGGAUUUGAUACUCACAAAUGAUAAAGAAGAAGGACAACACGUGUUUCCCUGUGAUUCCUUUUUUACGAAGUAAGAGUAAAAAAAAUGCACUAUUAAUUUACUGUUAUUAUUAAUUUAAUAAAUGGAAAACUAAAAGCCACUUGGUCAAUGACGUCACUCUUUUUCACGCCUUUUCAUUUCUCUUUUGUCAUCCUCGAUGCCUCUCUCUAUCAAUCUCGCCGUGCCUCUUUAGUUCUCAUCUCUUUUAGUCUCUCAUCGUCUCCUUCUCAUCUCUUGAACUCUUCACACACGCCUCGUCUCUACCUCUCAUCUCCAUCGUUCACCAUCUCCUCAGUCUCGAACGUUCCAAUGUUAGUGAUUAUUUAUUUUGAGUUUUUUUCUUUCAUUGAAAAUUUAGUAGGUCUAGUUUUUUUUAGUAAAUCUCUAGUCUUAUUAAAAUAUAUCAUUAUAAAUAUAUUUUAAUAAGAAGUUAAAAGAUCUUAUUUAAAUACCUUUUCCAAAGAAAAAGAUAAAAGAUAUUCCUCAUAUUUAAAAUAUCUUAUUGUAAAGAAAAUUUUCUUUAUUGGCUCUUCAAAAAGGAGAAGUUUUCUGAAUGUAAAAUCCAAUCUUUAUAGCUAUCUUCAUAGCUGAUGUUCAGAAGUUUAUAUUUUUUUGUGAAGAAUCUGUACGAAGGUAAACCGACUGUUACCUUCUUUAUUUUAUGAAGAAUUCUUGAUAUCUUCUUUAGUGGUUUCAGUGUAUAUGAGAUAAGAGAUUUAAAGACGAUCUUGAACAUUUGAUAAAGUCUUUAAAUUGUGAAGCUUCUCGCAAGUUUUUGUGUGCGUAUCACUAGAUUUUUAUUCGAAAAAAUUCGUGUUAUCAAAGAAAGUUUUUGAAGGUAUCUCAGUUACCUUAUGCAGUACAACAGAUUAUUAAAAAUCGUCAAGUGAUUUAGAAAUAUGAAUAAAAACUGAGAUAAUUGUACUACAAUCACUGAAUUCAGGGGAGUCUGAUCAAUUUGUCUUCGAGGAUAUUCACAAUUACCUUAAGAGGGAGUCUGAGUUUAUUUUAAGUUAUAGUGAUAACUUAUCAAAGUAGCUUUAGAUUUAAGUUACCGACUUUUAAAAUUCAAUAAUAUUUCUUAUUUGAGCAAAAAAGCUCCCCAGAUGUAGGUUGUAUUUGUCGAACUCGGUUAUUAAAGUCUUAUGUGUUAUUUGUUCGCUUUAUUACGUUAGUUAUUCCUGCAGUUAGUCAUAGCGGGAGGAUAUUAUUUAUCAUCUCACCUAUUUUUCAAAAUGGAAUGAUGAAAUUAGAAAAGGAAAGCAAGAAUUUUACAAUCCGACAAUCGAGCUCAUAUUUUAAGGGUUGGGUUGGGAAUACUCUAUUUGGGUUAUUUGUGUUGGCAAUCCAACCUGUCUACAUACCUCUAAUCUUGAGUGCAUGGUUUUCUAUGGUUGUGUAUGUUGAUGCAAAUUUAUAGUUUGUUUGUUUUGAUUAUUUUGUCAUGAAAUUCAUAAUAUUCCAUUUGUUUCUAAAAUAGAAUUCAAUAUUAAUGGAAAAGAAUGAAAAUGAGACAUUAUAAGACAGAAGUUUGAAUAAUACGACUCCCUGUUAUGAUGUCAUAUAUAUUAAAUUAUUCAUUUACCCAAAUUAAACUUAGCAUAGUUUAAUUAUAUUAACAUGCACAUGAACGAAGUAAUGAUCUAAAAGAACUAUCAUGAGAAGAGAAAACUUACGAGCUGUGUCAGCCAUUAUAUUGAGUUCCCUAGAAGAAACGUUGAAAGCAAGUAGGAGAAGCAAAGCAAUGAAGACAAUAAUCUUCCAAGCACCAAAAAAUGCUUUUCUGGAAGCCAUUUUUGUCUGCAAAAACCUCAAGCCUUUGUUAUAUAUUAAAAGUAUAGAGAGAUACUUUAAUUAUUGAACUUAGUAUAGAAGAGACUUCAGUUUCUUAGUGUAUUAUAAACCCAACAAAGGCUUGUAUAUAUAAUCUUCUCUUCAUUGCAAG
This 4070-nucleotide long non-coding RNA is filed under the name Cucumis sativus (cucumber). RNAcentral describes it as "long non-coding RNA (CSAT_LNC000964)". Lineage: Eukaryota; Viridiplantae; Streptophyta; Magnoliopsida; Cucurbitales; Cucurbitaceae. The record is from RNAcentral.